AACGAACGCUGGCGGCAUGCCUAACACAUGCAAGUCGAACGAUCCCUUCGGGGAUAGUGGCGCACGGGUGCGUAACGCGUGGGAACCUGCCCUUAGGUUCGGAAUAACUCAGAGAAAUUUGAGCUAAUACCGGAUAAUGUCUUCGGACCAAAGAUUUAUCGCCUUUGGAUGGGCCCGCGUUGGAUUAGCUAGUUGGUGGGGUAAAGGCCUACCAAGGCGACGAUCCAUAGCUGGUCUGAGAGGAUGAUCAGCCACACUGGGACUGAGACACGGCCCAGACUCCUACGGGAGGCAGCAGUGGGGAAUAUUGGACAAUGGGCGAAAGCCUGAUCCAGCGAUGCCGCGUGAGUGAUGAAGGCCUUAGGGUUGUAAAGCUCUUUUACCCGGGAUGAUAAUGACAGUACCGGGAGAAUAAGCCCCGGCUAACUCCGUG
RNAcentral lists this ribosomal RNA (433 nucleotides) under uncultured bacterium. RNAcentral's name for it is "partial 16S ribosomal RNA". It matches the Rfam family "Bacterial small subunit ribosomal RNA", at positions 29 to 507 of the family's 1533-position model. The record is from RNAcentral.